Rhododendron vialii is the source of this 546-nucleotide long non-coding RNA. RefSeq lists it as uncharacterized. The record is from RefSeq and is a predicted model, not a curated record. NCBI's taxonomy places the organism in Eukaryota, Viridiplantae, Streptophyta, Magnoliopsida, Ericales, Ericaceae. The transcript is spliced from 2 exons.
ACCCCAUUAGUUUUACAGCUAAUCUUGAUGCUUUCAUCUGCUAAAGAGGAAUGAUCCUAGGCAGUUUUCAUUUGUUUGGUAAAGACACAAGGUUAUUGUUUGUGCCCCAUGGCUGGCCUCUAUGGCAGCUAAUGCCUCAAUUUCUCUUUUCCUUUGGCUAAUUUGCCCACUGAGUUGGAUUGUUUGAUCACUACGGCUUGCGUGGAUUUGUGGCCAUGGAGGAUCUAUUAAAGAUAUAUGAGAAGUGAGAAUGCUACAUGAAUUAGCCACUAAGGUAUGUGUUCGCCGUUGGGAGCAAAAGGGUAUAAACUCAGCAAAAAAGUAAGCUUCAAAUAAAGAACAUCUAUGUGGGUGAAGAAUUGGGGUACUUGAAUGAGAUGGCUACCUAGUUUAGGAUUACAUUUUCUGGAAAGAGAGAUUACAUUAGUGUUUUUUUAUGAGUGUAAUUAGUCUGACUCUUAAAUGUAGUUUGUGCUGGAAAAUUAUUCUUCAAGCUAUUGUAAUGAAUCUUUGGUUGAAUUAUUUAUCUUACAUUAAAAUUGUAUC